CGCUGGCGGCGUGCUUAACACAUGCAAGUGGAGCGACGAACCGGGGCUUGCCCCGGGCAGAGCCGCGAACGGGUGAGUAACACGUGGGUAACCUGCCUCAAUGAUUGGGACAACCCGGGGAAACUCGGGCUAAUACCAAAUGUGUUCACUCCUUCUAAGGGGAGUGAGGAAAGGAAGCUUCGGCCUCCGCAUUGAGAUGGGCCCGCGGCCCAUUAGCUUGUUGGUGAGGUAACGGCUCACCAAGGCUUCGAUGGGUAGCUGGUCUGAGAGGACGAUCAGCCACACUGGGACUGAGACACGGCCCAGACUCCUACGGGAGGCAGCAGUGGGGAAUCUUGCACAAUGCGCGAAAGCGUGAUGCAGCAACGCCGCGUGGGGGAAGACGGCCUUCGGGUUGUAAACCCCUUUCAGUUGGGACGAAGCUUCGUCGGUGAAUAGCCGGUUGGAGUGACGGUACCUUCAGAAGAAGCCCCGGCUAACUACGUG
RNAcentral lists this ribosomal RNA (486 nucleotides) under uncultured bacterium. Its description in RNAcentral is "bacterial SSU rRNA". It matches the Rfam family "Bacterial small subunit ribosomal RNA", at positions 34 to 507 of the family's 1533-position model. The record is from RNAcentral.